GUGGGGAAUAUUGGGCAAUGGGCGAAAGCCUGACCCAGCAACGCCGCGUGAAGGAAGAAGGUCUUCGGAUCGUAAACUUCUAUCCUUGGUGAAGAUAAUGACGGUAGCCGAGAAGGAAGCCCCGGCUAACUACGUGCCAGCAGCCGCGGUAAUACGUAGGGGGCAAGCGUUGUCCGGAAUGAUUGGGCGUAAAGGGCGCGUAGGCGGCCUGGUAAGUCUGGAGUGAAAGUCCUGCUUUUAAGGUGGGAAUUGCUUUGGAUACUGUCGGGCGUGAGUGCAGGAGAGGUAAGUGAAAUUCCCGGUGUGGCGGUGAAAUGCGUAGAGAUCGGGAGGAACACCAGUGGCGAAGGCGACUUACUGGACUGUAACUGACGCUGAGGCGCGAAAGUGUGGGGAGCAAACAGGAUUAGAUACCCUAGUAGUCC
RNAcentral lists this ribosomal RNA (425 nucleotides) under uncultured bacterium. Its description in RNAcentral is "partial 16S ribosomal RNA". It matches the Rfam family "Bacterial small subunit ribosomal RNA", at positions 354 to 796 of the family's 1533-position model. The record is from RNAcentral.